GAGAAACAGCUCACUGGUAUUUGAUUUCAUAGAAUCAUAGAAUCACAGAAUGGCUUGGGUUGGAAGGGACUUUAAGGAUCUUCCAGUUCCAACCACCCAGCCACGAGCAGGGAUGCCACCCACAAGACCAGGUUGCUGAAAGCCCCAUCCAAGCUGACCUUGAACACUUCCAAGGGUGAGGCAUCCACAGUUUCCCUGGGCAACCUGUUCCAGUGCCUCAUCACUAUUUGAGUAAAGAAAUUCUUCCAAAUAUCUAAUCUAAAUCAACUCUCUUUUAGUUUAAAGCUGCCACCCCUUGUUCUAUCACCACACUCUCUAAUAAAAAGUCCCUCUCCACCUUUCUUGUAGGCCCUUUUUAGUUACAGGAAAGCAGCUAUAAAGUCUCCCCAGAGCAUUCUUCAGGCUGAACAACCCCAGCUCCCUUAAUCUCUCUUCAGAGGAGAGGUGCUCCAGCUCUUUGGUCAUCUUCAUGGUUCUCCUCUGGAAUCACUCCAACAGAAUGGGGAUAUCUUCCCCUCUCUCCUGCUAUCUGUUGAGGAGACAUGGAGUAUAUAGAAGGAAAUUUAACACAUCUUUGUAAUUAUCUCACAGCUGAAAGAGAGCCUCACAGGGAACAUGAGCUUGGUGCUUGCCAACCCAGGAGUUUUCACUUGAGCUUGCAGCAAAGGCAGCAAGGUUUCAGAAAGGCAUCUUGUACUCAGCAGUAGUGAGGAGAGAGCUGGUGACACAGGAGAAGUGA
This is a long non-coding RNA of Cygnus olor (mute swan), 739 nucleotides long. RefSeq lists it as uncharacterized. The transcript is spliced from 3 exons. Lineage: Eukaryota; Metazoa; Chordata; Aves; Anseriformes; Anatidae. The record is from RefSeq and is a predicted model, not a curated record.